Molecule: long non-coding RNA, 895 nt
Organism: Cannabis sativa
Lineage: Eukaryota; Viridiplantae; Streptophyta; Magnoliopsida; Rosales; Cannabaceae
Exons: 3
Source: RefSeq, a predicted model, not a curated record
UUUCUAAAAUUCCAUAUCAUUAAGGGCUCGUUUGGAUCCCUGUAUAAGGGUUCUGUAUUGUAUUAAAUUAUAAGAGUACAAUGUUUGGGUAGGACCUUGUAUUGUAAUAGAUAUUACAGUCUUAAUUUUUAAUACAAUCUAUCCUGUAUUAUUCUAUGCUGAAUAAAAACAGUGUAUAAGAUUGUAUUGUAUUAUUUUGGACGGUGUUAGCCAGUACUCUCCCUCUCACCCAAACUUCUUCGUUUUCCCGUUCAGCCAUCGAUUCUCUGGCCGAUUUAGCCUGGAUUUCUCGGUGAAGAGGUUCUCCGGCAGAUCGAUCUCUCAGAUUCAUUUCUCAGUGAAAAGCAACUUCAUCUUCUCUAGCAUAUCAAUGGCUCAGAUUCAUUUGACCAGGUGUGCUGUCCGCUGCUAGCACUCAAUUCUUCUCUGUACAACCCAGAAAGAGCCGAGGUUCUGCUAUUUUGCUUUAGAUAUGGAUAUGCAACAUUAACUUGGAGUUGGCUAAGGAGUUGAAAUCGAUGGGACUUUCGGUUGAUGAUCAACUUGAUGCAUUGACGUACAUGUUGAAGAAGCCAGAAUAUGUAGCAACCUUCAAGUCAAUAGAUGGAGAAAUUCGAGAGCCUUUUGUGACAAGAGUUCUCAGAGAAGUUAGAUCAAGUCGUUGAUAGAGAACUUUGGUUUUAUUGGUUGAACUUUAAUGUGGUCGGUUGAACUUUGAUUUGGUCGGUUGAACUUUAGUUUUAUUGGUUGAACUUUGAUUUGGUCAGUUGAACUUUGGUUUUAUUGGUUGAACUUUGAUUUGGUCGGUUGAACUUUGACGGUGCUACAAGGUUUAUUUUAGUUAUGUAAACUUUAUUUUUUUAAAAAAAAAAAAUUGGUUACUUUUUUAUGACAA